RNAcentral lists this ribosomal RNA (884 nucleotides) under Salmonella enterica subsp. enterica serovar Typhimurium. Its description in RNAcentral is "partial 23S ribosomal RNA". It matches the Rfam family "Bacterial large subunit ribosomal RNA", at positions 1 to 816 of the family's 2925-position model. Lineage: Bacteria; Pseudomonadati; Pseudomonadota; Gammaproteobacteria; Enterobacterales; Enterobacteriaceae. The record is from RNAcentral.
GGGUUGUGAGGUUAAGCGACUAAGCGUACACGGUGGAUGCCCUGGCAGUCAGAGGCGAUGAAGGGCGUGCUAAUCUGCGAUAAGCGCCGGUAAGGUGAUAUGAACCGUUAUAACCGGCGAUACCCGAAUGGGGAAACCCAGUGUGAUUCGUCACACUAUCAUUAACUGAAUCCAUAGGUUAAUGAGGCGAACCGGGGGAACUGAAACAUCUAAGUACCCCGAGGAAAAGAAAUCAACCGAGAUUCCCCCAGUAGCGGCGAGCGAACGGGGAGGAGCCCAGAGCCUGAAUCAGCAUGUGUGUUAGUGGAAGCGUCUGGAAAGGCGCGCGAUACAGGGUGACAGCCCCGUACACAAAAGCGCAUGUGCUGUGAGCUCGAUGAGUAGGGCGGGACACGUGGUAUCCUGUCUGAAUAUGGGGGGACCAUCCUCCAAGGCUAAAUACUCCUGACUGACCGAUAGUGAACCAGUACCGUGAGGGAAAGGCGAAAAGAACCCCGGCGAGGGGAGUGAAAAAGAACCUGAAACCGUGUACGUACAAGCAGUGGGAGCCCCACCACCAAAGCAUUCUCUGGUGUUGAAGGCCCUGCAAAGCAGCAUCGCGGUGGCGGAGCGUCGUUUGCGACGCCCAACACACAAAACAAGCGGUGAAUGCUUUGGGGUGGGGUGACUGCGUACCUUUUGUAUAAUGGGUCAGCGACUUAUAUUCUGUAGCAAGGUUAACCGAAUAGGGGAGCCGGAGGGAAACCGAGUCUUAAUUGGGCGUUAAGUUGCAGGGUAUAGACCCGAAACCCGGUGAUCUAGCCAUGGGCAGGUUGAAGGUUGGGUAACACUAACUGGAGGACCGAACCGACUAAUGUUGAAAAAUUAGCGGAUGACCUGUGGCU